CCUACGGGUGGCAGCAGUGGGGAAUAUUGGGCAAUGGGCGCAAGCCUGAUCCAGCAACGCCGCGUGAAGGAAGAAGGCUUUCGGGUUGUAAACUUCUUUUGGCAGGGACGAAGCAAGUGACGGUACCUGACGAAUAAGCCACGGCUAACUACGUGCCAGCAGCCGCGGUAAUACGGAGGUGGCAAGCGUUAGCCGGAUUUACUGGGUGUAAAGGGCGUGUAGGCGGGACUGCAAGUCAGAUGUGAAAACCACGGGCUGAACCUGUGGCCUGCAUUUGAAACUGUAGUUCUUGAGUACUGGAGAGGCAGGCGGAAUUCCUGGUGUAGCGGUGAAAUGCGUAGAUAUUAGGAGGAACACCAGUGGCGAAGGCGGUCUGCUGGACAGCAACUGACGCUGAGGCGCGAAAGCGUGGGGAGCAAACAGGAUUAGAUACCCGGGUAGUC
This 443-nucleotide ribosomal RNA is filed under the name uncultured bacterium. Its description in RNAcentral is "partial 16S ribosomal RNA". It matches the Rfam family "Bacterial small subunit ribosomal RNA", at positions 338 to 795 of the family's 1533-position model. The record is from RNAcentral.